GGCAUGGGAAGGCAGCGUGUUGGGAUGGGACAGGACUGAAAAGAUGCUCGCUGCUGGUCUGUAUGCACUCUGCCCUAGCUACUUGUGGAAGAUGGACAAGACAGAAGGUCGGUUACAGCACUCCUAGAGCUGUUAAGGUGUAUCAUGUGUCGGAUUGUCUCAUCUCAUCUCUAACAACAUCGGCUCUCUGUAAGAAGGAUGCUGACUCGUCUGCCCAUCGUUGACGAUGUGAUGCUGCUAUCUGGGCCAACUCCACACUGCUGGUCAGGAGCAGUUUCAGGCGAUGGAAAGGGAAGUCCAACACAGGCUGUGGUUUUCUUACCCACCAUGCCCCCAUUGUCACCCACAGAUGCGGGCUUCUGUUGAAGGGAGUUUUACCAGCUUGAGCACAGAUUCAGGGUAGUCUUGGCGCAUGCACAAGCCCUGUGCUUUAAUAACAUAAUGCAGCCAGAAAAAGGUCCUUUAAAAUGUUCCCGACAUGCAUCCAGUGACUCAUAACUCCCGCAAAGAUCUACCGUCCAUUGCUUAGAAACAGAAGGCACUGAGUUAGCACAAGAACGAAGGCUGCCAUCCGAGGCUGUGUGACUGACAGCAUGAUGCCAAGCCAAUAGCCUGGGAGUUGAAAUCAAGACUAGACACUUUGGGCCAAAAGAAGUCUUAUUCAUGUGCGUGUGCGUGCGGACGUGCUGUUGCAAUGGCACGCUGCCUUUCUCUGUGCUAAGAAGUUGUCUGAGUGAUUCACAGGCUGAUGGCUGGAGUCAUAAUGUUGACCCCUUCCACGAAUGUUGUUCCCCCCGAACCCUCGCGUCAGCCCUUAAAUGUUGUUGAUGGCUUUGCAGUGGGAUGUGUGAGGGCUCUUCAUGUUCUCUACAGAUAAGAAAACCCAUAUCCCAUGGAGAGAUACUUUCCUGAUGAAAAGGAAAGGAGUGGAGCAAGGAUGCUGCAUGUUAGGGUGAAGCUGUCCCCUGAACCCCCAGCCCCGACGGCAUUUACGCUCUGUAUAAAUAAAUAUGGUUUCAGCACGGCACACAUCACGUGGACUUCCAAAAGACACAGCUCACCUUCACCACUCAAAUGAUCAAAAACUGUUCGUCUUCUUUUAACUCAAUUGGUUUUAGAUCUUUUUUCUUUGUGAAGAUUUUACUCCCAUCCUGUUAAAGGAUUCUGCACCUCACAGGCAAUCUGGGUGAAUUCAGUGUCGGGGAUGCCACUCCUAGCUUCGGUCCAGGGUCUGCACUGAAGGUCCUUCCCAUGUACCUGAAGAAUACUGCUGUGCUGUAGGCUUUUCUAAGUUUUAUCAUUUUUUUACUAUUUGUGGUACAGAAUUGAAAGCUAAAUGCAGCAAAUCUACCUCUUACUGUUACACUAGAAAACUUGUGGCAGAAAAAGAUCAUUAUUGCCCAAGGGAGAUGAACAAAGAUUUGGUUAGAAGACUCUUUUAACUUGCAGACAAACUUAAGUUGACAAACCUGUGUUUUUUUCUAAUUUGUUCUCAACUCUGGGGACAGGUCCUGAGAUCAUUGCUCUAUUACAACACCACCUUUGCUUGGGAGAGGUUAAGCAGUUAAAGAUUUAAACUAUGCUGUAUAGCUGUCUUGUUGGUAUUGAUAAACAGCUAUAAGAAGGCAACAUUUGUUUUCCAAAUAGUUUUUUUUUUUUUCUCUUAGAUUUCUUUUCAGUCAAGCUUACAAUUUCAUAAAUUUAUUAAAUGAACAUAAAACAUCUGGUAGUUAGUCUCUUCCCUGUGGAGUCUGCUUCAUGUGAAAUGUUAUUUCUGUUCAAAUAGCAGCUUCUGGAGUAUCGUUUUUGCAAAGGAAUAAAUUGUCUGUUGAAUUAAUGAA
This is a long non-coding RNA of Oxyura jamaicensis (ruddy duck), 1841 nucleotides long. RefSeq lists it as uncharacterized. The transcript has 2 exons. Lineage: Eukaryota; Metazoa; Chordata; Aves; Anseriformes; Anatidae. The record is from RefSeq and is a predicted model, not a curated record.